Acomys russatus (golden spiny mouse) is the source of this 399-nucleotide long non-coding RNA. RefSeq lists it as uncharacterized. NCBI's taxonomy places the organism in Eukaryota, Metazoa, Chordata, Mammalia, Rodentia, Muridae. The record is from RefSeq and is a predicted model, not a curated record. The transcript is spliced from 2 exons.
UCGAGGGGCGGCCGUGCCAAGGCCAGGCGUCUUGCUUCGGGCGUCCCGGGGUGUCCCUCACCCCUGCAUCUCCGGGGUGGGCCCGUGUGCUCCGGUCUCCACGCCCCGUUGGGCUGUGGCCGCGGCCCCCAGCUCUUCCUGGGUUCAGCCUCCACGUGUUCAGCCCAUACAACCUCCCGCUGUGGUUGGUGCCUGCCCCUCCAAUAGCAAAGAAAAGAAAAAAGGAAAGAAAAGCACUUCUUCUGUGACCACUUUCUGGGAGAGCUAGAUCUCAAAUCUGGCACAUGGGCCACCAAGCCAGGGUGGAUGAGAGUCUCCUCACCGCAGAGGUGUGUUUUCAUGUUCCAUCCGUUGGUGGAGGUGUGGUGGCUGGUUACCUACACAGAUGGGAAAAUAAAG